UAGCAAUGUGGUCUCGCCACGAUGCCCAGGCUGUUCCUGAACUCCCGGGCUCAAGCGAUCCUCCCACAUUGGCUGGGUUUACAGGCCUGAGCCACCAUGCUUGGCCAGCUUUUUCAAUUUAAAAAAUAUAGAAAGUGUUAAUACAAAUUAAAAAGUUAUAAAAUAGUGCCAAUAGUAUCCCAUUUUUCCGAAGACAAACAUAGGCAGAGAAAAAUUAAUGGAUACUGUCU
RNAcentral lists this long non-coding RNA (230 nucleotides) under Homo sapiens (human). RNAcentral's name for it is "HSALNT0396118". Lineage: Eukaryota; Metazoa; Chordata; Mammalia; Primates; Hominidae. The record is from RNAcentral.